UAACGCGAAGAACCUUACCAAGGCUUGACAUACAGGAGAACGGGCCAGAAAUGGUCAACUCUUUGGACACUCGUGAACAGGUGGUGCAUGGUUGUCGUCAGCUCGUGUCGUGAGAUGUUGGGUUAAGUCCCGCAACGAGCGCAACCCUCGUUUUAUGUUGCCAGCACGUGAUGGUGGGAACUCAUAGGAGACUGCCGGGGUCAACUCGGAGGAAGGUGGGGAUGACGUCAAAUCAUCAUGCCCCUUAUGUCUUGGGCUUCACGCAUGCUACAAUGGCCGGUACAAAGGGCUGCGAUACCGUAAGGUGGAGCGAAUCCCAAAAAGCCGGUCUCAGUUCGGAUUGAGGUCUGCAACUCGACCUCAUGAAGUCGGAGUCGCUAGUAAUCGCAGAUCAGCA
RNAcentral lists this ribosomal RNA (397 nucleotides) under uncultured bacterium. RNAcentral describes it as "bacterial SSU rRNA". It matches the Rfam family "Bacterial small subunit ribosomal RNA", at positions 957 to 1354 of the family's 1533-position model. The record is from RNAcentral.